GAUGAACGCUGGCGGCGUGCCUAAUACAUGCAAGUCGAGCGAACAGACGAGGAGCUUGCUCCUUUGACGUUAGCGGCGGACGGGUGAGUAACACGUGGGUAACCUACCUAUAAGACUGGGAUAACUUCGGGAAACCGGAGCUAAUACCGGAUAAUAUUUUGAACCGCAUGGUUCGAUAGUGAAAGACGGCCUUGCUAUCACUUAUAGAUGGAUCUGCGCUGCAUUAGCUAGUUGGUAAGGUAACGGCUUACCAAGGCAACGAUACGUAGCCGACCUGAGAGGGUGAUCGGCCACACUGGAACUGAGACACGGUCCAGACUCCUACGGGAGGCAGCAGUAGGGAAUCUUCCGCAAUGGGCGAAAGCCUGACGGAGCAACGCCGCGUGAGUGAUGAAGGUCUUCGGAUCGUAAAACUCUGUUAUUAGGGAAGAACAAACGUGUAAGUAACUGUGCACAUCUUGACGGUACCUAAUCAGAAAGCCACGGCUAACUACGUG
Molecule: ribosomal RNA, 497 nt
Filed under: uncultured bacterium
Lineage: Bacteria
Description: partial 16S ribosomal RNA
Rfam family: Bacterial small subunit ribosomal RNA
Source: RNAcentral